AUAAGGUUCUUUUAGGUUUGGUCGGCUAGCCCUAGUUUUGAAAAAGGGGGUGAAGCCUUUGAGCAUUUUUGAAGUGUUUAUGAUUAUGUUUGCGUUUGGCACGUUUAUUAUAGGGUUGUUGACGCUUAUUGAAAAAAUGAUCAAUAAAAAAUAGACCUCCCUAUUAACCCUUGGAACAGUUGAUUGGGAGAGGUCUAUUCAGAUUGGAUAGCUGAUCCCCUGGGGGAACGCUUAUCAUUUAGACCACAGUUGCAACUGUGGUCU
Molecule: small RNA, 264 nt
Filed under: Virgibacillus phasianinus
Lineage: Bacteria; Bacillati; Bacillota; Bacilli; Caryophanales; Bacillaceae
Description: Virgibacillus sp. LM2416 BsrG
Rfam family: BsrG
About the family: bsrE, bsrG and bsrH pair through intermolecular interactions with antisense sRNAs. SR4 interaction with the 3'UTR of bsrG RNA promotes bsrG degradation and inhibits its translation.
Source: Rfam by way of RNAcentral